This is an RNA transcript of Rhipicephalus sanguineus (brown dog tick), 3831 nucleotides long. RefSeq lists it as uncharacterized. The transcript has 3 exons. The record is from RefSeq and is a predicted model, not a curated record. NCBI's taxonomy places the organism in Eukaryota, Metazoa, Arthropoda, Arachnida, Ixodida, Ixodidae.
CGAGGACAUUCAUGCGAAGUCCCCGCCGAAAAGGACAUUCAGUGCGGCUGGGCAGCUCGAGAACUCUGCGUGUCCUGCCAAUUCGUCAUACACAUAUGAAGAGGCCGAGAUGUUCAAGUCUUUCUCAGACAGCAAGAGUGGGCCUGAUGAAUUAUGUAUAAUGGAGAAGUUUGACAAUCUCCUUCAGAGAAUCGACAAUAUAAGUCAAAGACUUAGUCAUACUAAGUACAGUGCAGAUGUAGAUACGUUCACUAGUGCACAUGACUUCAAAUUGUCCAUGCACAUGGCUAAUCGUGCACGGAGCAAGACUGAACUUCCUUACAACCCACUAGAAAAGCUUGUGAACAAAGAUGAAGAGCUGGCCAACCUCCGCCACGACGUCGAAAACCUCGACAGAAGGACGAGGUUGUUAAUCCAGAAUGAUGAAAUGACAACAAUUGAGAUAAACCAAAUGAAGAACAUUAUGAGUAGUAUAUAUAAUGACACACUCCUUUGGAAAAAUGAGAAGAAUGUUGAGCUGAAUAUUCUUGGUCAAGUUGUAAGGGAUUUCCAAGAUGGAAAUUGUGCCCUACGAGAACAUUUGGAAUCUCUGAAACAAGAACUGGCUUUCUUAAGAAAUGAGCAACCAACAAUAGUAAGCACAAACAAGAAAGCAAACGUAAAGCGUGACCAAUCCCAAAUGGUCUUGAAGAAAAUAAACCGCUCAAUUCUGAUGCUCAAAUCACAGGUGAAAAAUAUGCAAAAGACCUCCCCCAUUGUAACAGGUCUGUCUAUUUAUGAUCUCUCUGGCACUACUGCCUUCUCAAACCUUACAAUGAGAGAUCAUGCAGCAAAUCCCAAAAGAACCAAGAGAAAGUCUCCUCUCUCAAGAGAAAAAACACACGAAAAAAAGGAAGAGCACGACAGCAUAAAGGCUCGGAAAAGGCCCUUUGACAAGAUGGAGUCUGCUACAAAGAAAAUAAAGCGAAGGAAAUGUUGCCCCCAAAAUAUACAACAGUCACAAAGUGAUGUAAGCACAAAGCAAAGUCACCCACAAAGGCACCCACAAAGUAAGGCACCCACAAAGCGAAGACCUACUCGUGGGGAAUGAUCAACCAUCGGAAUAUACCAGGAUAUUGGAUAAAAUGGAGUUACCUUCACAGAAGGCGCAAGGAGAGGCCUCUGCCGUUGUGCUUAAGGAGCGUAAGAGUGUGCCCGUCCUCAAGGCCAAGGAGCACUGCGAGCGAGAGAGAAAUGCGCUGGCUCUUUCUGGAGUGGAGGGAGAAGACUUCGAUAAGCUAGGGUUUGUCGUGCCCGAGGCCGAAGUGCCUGCCGAGGACAUUCACCCGGAGUCCCCGCCGAAAAGGACAUUCAGUGCGGCUGGGCAGCACGAGAACUCUGCGUGUCCUGCCAAUUCGUCGUACACAUAUGAAGAGGCCGAGAUGUUCAAGUCUUGCUCAGACAGCAAGAGUGGGCCUGAUGAACUAUAGAUAAUGGAGAAGUUUGACGAGCUCCAUCAGAGAAUUGACAAUAUAAGUGAUAGACUAAGUCGUACUAAGUACACUGCAGAUGUAGAUACCUUGACUGGUGCACAUGACAUCAGAUUGUCCACGCACAUGGCUAAUCGUGCACGUAGCAAAACUGAACUUCCUUACAAUCCACUAGAAAAGCUUGUGAACAAACAUGAGGAGCUGGCCAACCUCCAUCAAGACGUCGAAAACCUCGACAGAAGGACGAGGUUGUUAAUCCAGAAUGAUGAAAUGACAACAAUUGAGAUGAACCAGAUGAAUAACAUUGAGUGGUAUAUAUAAUGACACACUUCUUUGGAAAAAUGAGAAAACUGUUGAACUGAAUAUUCUUUGUCAAGUUGUAAGGGAUUUCCAAGAUGGAAAUUGUGCCCUACGAGAACAGUUGGAAUCUCUUAAACAAGAACUAGCUUCCGUCAGAAAUGAGCAACCAACAAUAGUAAGCACAAACAAGAAAGCAAACCGCGACCAAUCCCAAAUGGUCUUGAACAAAAUAAACCGCUCAAUUCAGAUGCUCAAGUCGCAGGUGAAAAAUAUGCACAAGACCUCCCCCAUUGUGACAGGUCUGUCUAUUUAUGACCUCUCUGGCACGACUGCUUUCUCAAACCUUACAAUGAGAGAUCAUGCGGCAAAUCCCAAAAGAACUAAGAGAAAGUCUCCUAUCUCAAGAAAAAAAACACACGAGAAAAGGGAAGAGCACGACAGCAUAAAGGCUCGGCACUUAAAAAGGACCUUUGACAAGAUGGAGUCUCCUUCACAGAAGAGAAAACGAAUGAAAUGUUGCCCCCAAAAUAUGCAACAGUCACAAAGUGAUGUGUUCAGAGAAUAUAAAGAGGAAGACCUACUCGUGGGGAAUGAUCAACCAUCGGAAUAUACCAGAAUAUUGGAUAAAAUGGAGUUACCUUCACAGAAGGAGCAAGGAGAGGCCACUGCCGUUGUGCUUAAGGAGCGGAAGUGUGUGCUCGACCUCAAGGCCAAGGAGCACUGCGAGCGAGAGAGAAAUGCACAGGCUCUUUCUGGAGUGGAGGGAGAAGACGCGGAAAGAACAGAGACGCACAUGGCUAAUCCUGCACGGAGCAAGGCUGAACUUUAUAACAAUCCACUAGAAAAGAUUGAGCAAAGAUGAAGAGCUGGCCAACCUCCACCACGACAUCGAAAACCUCGACAGAAGUACGAGGUUGUUAAUUCAGAAUGAUGAAAUGGCAAGAAUUGAGAUAAAUCAAAUUAAGAACAUUAUAAGUAGUAUGUAUAAUGACACACUGCUUUGGAAAUGUGAGAAGACUGUCGAGAUGAAUAAUCUUUGUCAAGUUGUAAGGAAUUUCCAAGAUGAAAAUUGUGCCCUACGAGAACAUUUGGCAUCUCUAAAACAAGAACUGGCUUUUUUAAGAAAUGAGGAACCAACAGUAGUAGGCACAAACAAGAUAGCAAACGUAAUGGUCUUGAAGAAAAUGAACCGCUCAAUUCAGAGGCUCCAAUCACAGGUCAAAAAUAUGCAGAAGACCUCCCCCAUUGUGACUGGUCCGUCUGUUUAUGAUCUCUCUGGCACUACUGCCUUUUCAAACGUUACGACGAGAGAUCAUGCAGCAUAUCCCAAAAGAACCAUGAGAAGGUCUCCUCUCUCAAGAGAAAAAAAACACAAGAAAAAAGAAGAGCAGGACAGCAUAAAGGCUCGGAAAAGGCCCUUAGACAAGAUGGAGUCUGCAACUCGGAAAUUAAAGCGAAUGAAAUGUUGCCCAAAAAACAUGCAAAAGUCACAAAGUGAUAGGCACCCACAAAGCGAAGACCUACUCGCGGGGAAUGCUCAACCAUCGGAAUGUACCAGGAAAAUAGAGGUAAUAGUCAUUGACGAUGAGGACAUCACCUGUGAAAGUUACACUAUUGAGUGAAUCUUGAACAUUGCUGAAUCUUGCUGAACACAGAAAAAUGAUUCCCACAUUACAAAGGCUCCCUGAAAGUCGGCUGCUAUGACCUCAGACACAGUGACAGCCCGUUGGAUGGAGGGAACACCGCCAAAAUGGAGACCUUUCUCAUUUCUCUUGAGAUAUGGGAACAGGAAGAAGUCUACUGAGCUCACGUCAGGGCUGUAUUAGGGCUGCAUCAGCCAUGAUUUGAACCUGGCAGACUUAUUUUUGUUCCCAAAGCUCAAGAUAAGCCAGAAAGGUCCCCGUUUUGACGGUGUUUCCUCCAUUCAAAUUGAAAAAGGUCACAGAAGUUGACUCUCAGGGAGCCUUUGCAGCGUGGGAAUCGUGUUCCAAUAGGUGUAUCAAUGCCCAGGGAAACUAUAUUGAAGAAAUUAAAUAAUAUGUACCAAUCGGAUCAAUCUAUU